Molecule: ribosomal RNA, 497 nt
Filed under: uncultured bacterium
Lineage: Bacteria
Description: partial 16S ribosomal RNA
Rfam family: Bacterial small subunit ribosomal RNA
Source: RNAcentral
GAUGAACGCUGGCGGCGUGCCUAAUACAUGCAAGUCGAGCGAACAGACGAGGAGCUUACUCCUCUGACGUUAGCGGCGGACGGGUGAGUAACACGUGGAUAACCUACCUAUAAGACUGGGAUAACUUCGGGAAACCGGAGCUAAUACCGGAUAAUAUGUUGAACCGCAUGGUUCAACAGUGAAAGACGGUCUUGCUGUCACUUAUAGAUGGAUCCGCGCCGCAUUAGCUAGUUGGUAAGGUAACGGCUUACCAAGGCAACGAUGCGUAGCCGACCUGAGAGGGUGAUCGGCCACACUGGAACUGAGACACGGUCCAGACUCCUACGGGAGGCAGCAGUAGGGAAUCUUCCGCAAUGGGCGAAAGCCUGACGGAGCAACGCCGCGUGAGUGAUGAAGGUCUUCGGAUCGUAAAACUCUGUUAUUAGGGAAGAACAAAUGUGUAAGUAACUAUGCACGUCUUGACGGUACCUAAUCAGAAAGCCACGGCUAACUACGUG